RNAcentral lists this long non-coding RNA (1007 nucleotides) under Cricetulus griseus (Chinese hamster). RNAcentral's name for it is "lncRNA (ENSCGRG00015039043.1)". Lineage: Eukaryota; Metazoa; Chordata; Mammalia; Rodentia; Cricetidae. The record is from RNAcentral.
GUGAGUCAGGACAGCGUGGAGGGGCUGCACGGCAGCUCUGAGGGAAGAGGCAAAGGCAGACAAAGGCCUUCAGACCUUCCCUGUCUCCACCUAGUAGGCGACUCCGGCAAGGAGCCAUCCUGAGAACCCUGGGCUAUAGAGGGAUGAAGCAAGGUCAUUUGAAGGGGAAGCUGGCUCACUCUCCUUCCCCAGGAGCAUCCGCACCCGGCUUGCCACUCUGACAGAUUUCCAACUGAGCAUCUGAGUCCUCCUGAGGCUCCAGUCAGGUCAAAUGAAGGGACGCAGCAACAAGAAGAGGCCAAGGAGGUGACAAGAUGGCUCACCCUCACCACGACUUCCUGUCUGAGCUCAGGCCUCUGGAAAGAGAAGCUGAUAGCUGAAGAAUGGUGAAGGAAGAAGUCACCCUGAGGAAGAACAGUCAGCGGUACAGACCCUGGAGGGAGGUGCAUUCUGCGGCAAGGUCACCAGCAUGCAGGGACACAGCCCACCCAGUGCAGAACCAGGCCAGACUCUGCCUGUCUGCCUUUGCUCCCUCAUAAUUUGCUAAUGAGACAAGAAGCCUCUUUCACACUUGUUCUUCACCUGGCUGUCGGUAGUCCCCAGGCUCUGGUCCUUUCUUAAAGACACCUGAAGUGAUGAGAUAGAAGCCAAGAGGCUGAAAACUAUCAGGGGCACCUAUGGGAACAGAGCUCCAGCCCAGAAAGCUGAGCGAUUCCCACUAACGCCAGGACUAGAUGGUUAACCAACAACUCCUCGGUUUCUUUUCCCUCCCAACACUGAACCAACCAGAGAAAUCUGCCAACAGUGGAUGCGAAGCUGUCUGGUUGGCUAGUGAAGCCACUCCCGUGGGCUUUUUACCCAAAUGACAUCCAACCCCAGCAACUGGGUUUCAUUUUAGGACCUUUUUUGAGCCAGCAAGAAUGCUUUCAGGAAGCCUAAAACGAGGUGACAAAAGCAGUGGCGUUCCCAUGCCAAUCCACACAUGAAGUAGCCUCACAGGAAACCCG